RNAcentral lists this ribosomal RNA (254 nucleotides) under uncultured bacterium. RNAcentral's name for it is "partial 16S ribosomal RNA". It matches the Rfam family "Bacterial small subunit ribosomal RNA", at positions 524 to 776 of the family's 1533-position model. The record is from RNAcentral.
UACGUAGGGUGCGAGCGUUGUCCGGAAUUAUUGGGCGUAAAGGGCUCGUAGGCGGUUUGUCGCGUCGGGAGUGAAAUCCACUGGCUUAACUGGUGGCUUGCUUUCGAUACGGGCAGACUGGAGGUAUGCAGGGGGAGAACGGAAUUCCUGGUGUAGCGGUGAAAUGCGCAGAUAUCGAGAGGAACACCGGUGGCGAAGGCGGCCUUCUGGACAGUGACUGACGCUGAGACGCGAAAGCGUGGGGAGCAAACAGG